CUCUCCUUCACCAUCAUUGAUUGCUCUCGCUCUGGUCAUCACAGAAAUUCAAGACAAUUCAGACCGACAACAUUGAUGCGAAAAGAGAGUGCCGCCGUCAGGCGCUGUCGGUCUACCUGAACGAAGACCCGGAGAAAGUGGUGAAAGAACGCAUGGACUCUGAUGUUGACAAGGGUUAAGCUGAAACGGAGACUGUCUUCGGAGUAUUUGUGAUUUGCAGAGAAGGUGCAGAAGGUGAUGAUGGUCCAGAGGAUGUGGGCAUCAUUUUGGAGGGGGUAGAAGUUCUCAAUGAGCUGGGUAAUGUACCAGUAGCAGUUGCAAUGCUGUUCACUUUAGUUUAUGCACUCAAUCUCAGCUACCCCCCAGAGUGGAAAUACAUUUCCGAAGCUCUGCAGAAACUCAUCAUGGGGCUUGAUGGACAGAGGUUGUCUAAGAAACUGCAGGUGCUGAAAACCCUACUUACACAUUAAUAUUUUGUAAGGUAGCUGUCAGAGGUCUUCAACAACGAAUGUAUCCCAGAGUCAUGUUGGGGAGGCAGGUGGGGAGUCAUACAGUCAAUAUUAGUGUUUUAAAAUGACAG
This is a long non-coding RNA of Girardinichthys multiradiatus, 580 nucleotides long. RefSeq lists it as uncharacterized. The transcript has 3 exons. Lineage: Eukaryota; Metazoa; Chordata; Actinopteri; Cyprinodontiformes; Goodeidae. The record is from RefSeq and is a predicted model, not a curated record.